CGGAGAUGGCGACCGGCGCACGGUGAGUAACACGUAUCCAACCUGCCGAUAACUCGGGGAUAGCCUUUCGAAAGAAAGAUUAAUACCCGAUGGUAUAAUCAGACCGCAUGGUCUUGUUAUUAAAGAAUUUCGGUUAUCGAUGGGGAUGCGUUCCAUUAGGCAGUUGGUGAGGUAACGGCUCACCAAACCUUCGAUGGAUAGGGGUUCUGAGAGGAAGGUCCCCCACAUUGGAACUGAGACACGGUCCAA
RNAcentral lists this ribosomal RNA (249 nucleotides) under uncultured bacterium. Its description in RNAcentral is "partial 16S ribosomal RNA". It matches the Rfam family "Bacterial small subunit ribosomal RNA", at positions 83 to 334 of the family's 1533-position model. The record is from RNAcentral.